RNAcentral lists this long non-coding RNA (371 nucleotides) under Phoenix dactylifera (date palm). RNAcentral describes it as "long non-coding RNA (PDAC_LNC017937)". The record is from RNAcentral. Lineage: Eukaryota; Viridiplantae; Streptophyta; Magnoliopsida; Arecales; Arecaceae.
CCUUUGGUGGUGCCAAUUGCCUUCUCAACCUUAGCCGCCUUUUCUCGUAGGAAAUAGACCUUCUCAUCAAGCUUCCUCAGCCUCUUCUCAAAAUUCUCUAAGAUCAGCAAUAUAUUGCAGUAAUUUAAUCUAUCAACCAAAAACAAGAAAAUAAACUAGAAGAAAAGAAAGAAAGAAAAAAAACCCAACCAUUUAGCCUAACCUUUUUUGGAGCUGGCUAGCCUGUCUUCUUUCUUGAGAGGGGUCAUCUCCUCAUCGACUUCUAUCAUGGCCUCCUCAAAGAUAUCUACGCCAUAGACUUCAUGGAUUUUUUGGUGAGAUUCCACCUUUGCUCUCUUCUCUCAUCCGGCUACUUUUACCCCGUUCUCUUC